UGGGGAAUAUUGCACAAUGGAGGGAACUCUGAUGCAGCGACGCCGCGUGAACGAAGAAGGCUUUCGAGUCGUAAAGUUCUUUUAUAUGGGAAGAUAAUGACGGUACCAUAAGAAAAAGCCCCGGCUAACUACGUGCCAGCAGCCGCGGUAAUACGUAGGGGGCUAGCGUUGUCCGGAAUCACUGGGCGUAAAGGGUUCGCAGGCGGAAAUGCAAGUCAGGUGUAAAAGGCAGUAGCUUAACUACUGUAAGCAUUUGAAACUGCAUAUCUUGAGAAGAGUAGAGGUAAGUGGAAUUUUUAGUGUAGCGGUGAGAUGCGUAGAUAUUAAAAAGAAUACCGGUGGCGAAGGCGACUUACUGGGCUCAUUCUGACGCUGAGGAACGAAAGCGUGGGUAGCAAACAGG
Molecule: ribosomal RNA, 403 nt
Filed under: bacterium
Lineage: Bacteria
Also listed under: 2 other names
Description: partial 16S ribosomal RNA
Rfam family: Bacterial small subunit ribosomal RNA
Source: RNAcentral